This is a non-coding RNA of Ciona savignyi (Pacific transparent sea squirt), 73 nucleotides long. NCBI's taxonomy places the organism in Eukaryota, Metazoa, Chordata, Ascidiacea, Phlebobranchia, Cionidae. The record is from Rfam.
GCCUCGAUGACGCAGUAGGCAGCGCGUGAGUCUCAUAAUCUCAAGGUCGUGAGUUCGAUCCUCACUCAGGACA